GGGUGAUCUGCCCUCAACUUCGGGAUAAGCUUGGGAAACUGGGUCUAAUACCGGAUAGGACCGAUGGUUGCAUGACUGUUGGUGGAAAGCCUUGUGCGGUUGGGGAUGGGCCCGCGGCCUAUCAGCUUGUUGGUGGGGUUAUGGCCUACCAAGGCGACGACGGGUAGCCGACCUGAGAGGGUGAUCGGCCACACUGGGACUGAGACACGGCCCAGACUCCUACGGGAGGCAGCAGUGGGGAAUAUUGCACAAUGGGCGCAAGCCUGAUGCAGCGACGCCGCGUGAGGGAUGACGGCCUUCGGGUUGUAAACCUCUUUCGCGUAUGACGAAGCCUUCGGGUGACGGUAGUGCGAGAAGAAGCACCGGCCAACUACGUGCCAGCAGCCGCGGUAAUACGUAGGGUGCGAGCGUUGUCCSGAAUUACUGGGCGUAAAGAGCUCGUAGGCGGUUUGUCGCGUCGUCUGUGAAAUUCUGCAGCUUAACUGCAGGCGUGCAGGCGAUACGGGCAGACUUGAGUACUACAGGGGAGACUGGAAUUCCUGGUGUAGCGGUGAAAUGCGCAGAUAUCAGGAGGAACACCGGUGGCGAAGGCGGGUCUCUGGGUAGUAACUGACGCUGAGGAGCGAAA
Molecule: ribosomal RNA, 628 nt
Filed under: Streptomyces sp. BBMP211
Lineage: Bacteria; Bacillati; Actinomycetota; Actinomycetes; Kitasatosporales; Streptomycetaceae
Description: bacterial SSU rRNA
Rfam family: Bacterial small subunit ribosomal RNA
Source: RNAcentral